This 481-nucleotide ribosomal RNA is filed under the name Yoshiicerus dissimilis. Its description in RNAcentral is "partial large subunit ribosomal RNA". It matches the Rfam family "Bacterial large subunit ribosomal RNA", at positions 1813 to 2609 of the family's 2925-position model. The record is from RNAcentral. Lineage: Eukaryota; Metazoa; Arthropoda; Collembola; Entomobryomorpha; Tomoceridae.
ACAUUUCUUUUAGCUUUUUUUAAAAGUAAAGCCUGCCCACUGUUUAUAAUAAAGGGCCGCAGUAUAUUAACUGUGCAAAGGUAGCAUAAUCAUUAGUCUUUUAAUUGGGGAAUGGAAUGAAUGGUUUAAUGAUUUUUUUCUUUAUUUUUUAUUAAAUUAAAAUUUUGAUUUUAAGUGAAAAUACUUAAUUUAAUUAAAUAGACGAUAAGACCCUAUAGAAUUUUAUUUUUAUUAAUUUUAAAGAAAUUGAAUAACAGUUUAAUUGGGGCAAUUAAAGAAUAAUAUUAAUUUCUUUUGUUUAUAUUUAAAUAUCUUAUAUUAAAAAUUGAAAAAAUUACCUUAGGGAUAACAGCGUAAUUAAUAUUGAGAGUUCUUAUUGACAUAUUAGAUUGCGACCUCGAUGUUGAAUUAAAUUUCUUUAUAAGAGCAGAAUUUUAUAGAAAGUAGUCUGUUCGACUGUUAAAUUUUUACAUGAUUUGAU